AACGAACGCUGGCGGCAGGCUUAACACAUGCAAGUCGAGCGCCCCGCAAGGGGAGCGGCAGACGGGUGAGUAACGCGUGGGAACGUACCUUUUGGUUCGGAACAACUCCGGGAAACUGGAGCUAAUACCGGAUAAGCCCUAACGGGGAAAGAUUUAUCGCCGAAAGAUCGGCCCGCGUCUGAUUAGCUAGUUGGUGAGGUAACGGCUCACCAAGGCGACGAUCAGUAGCUGGUCUGAGAGGAUGAUCAGCCACACUGGGACUGAGACACGGCCCAGACUCCUACGGGAGGCAGCAGUGGGGAAUAUUGGACAAUGGGCGCAAGCCUGAUCCAGCCAUGCCGCGUGAGUGAUGAAGGCAUUAGGGUUGUAACGCUCUUUUGUCCGGGAAGAUAAUGACUGUACCGGAAGAAUAAGCCCCGGCUAACUUCGUG
Molecule: ribosomal RNA, 431 nt
Filed under: uncultured bacterium
Lineage: Bacteria
Description: partial 16S ribosomal RNA
Rfam family: Bacterial small subunit ribosomal RNA
Source: RNAcentral